UACGUAGGGGGCUAGCGUUGUCCGGAAUCAUUGGGCGUAAAGAGCGUGUAGGCGGCCAGGUAGGUCAGCUGUGAAAACUCGAGGCUCAACCUCGAGACGCCGGUUGAAACCAUCUGGCUAGAGUCCGGAAGAGGAGAGUGGAAUUCCUGGUGUAGCGGUGAAAUGCGCAGAUAUCAGGAAGAACACCCGUGGCUAAGGCGGCUAUCUAGUACGGUACUGACGCUGAGACGCGAAAGCGUGGGGAGCGAACAGG
Molecule: ribosomal RNA, 253 nt
Filed under: uncultured bacterium
Lineage: Bacteria
Description: partial 16S ribosomal RNA
Rfam family: Bacterial small subunit ribosomal RNA
Source: RNAcentral